This 553-nucleotide ribosomal RNA is filed under the name uncultured bacterium. RNAcentral describes it as "partial 16S ribosomal RNA". It matches the Rfam family "Bacterial small subunit ribosomal RNA", at positions 356 to 900 of the family's 1533-position model. The record is from RNAcentral.
AGGGAAUCUUCGGCAAUGGACGAAAGUCUGACCGAGCAACGCCGCGUGAGUGAAGAAGGUUUUCGGAUCGUAAAACUCUGUUGGUAGAGAAGAACGUUGGUGAGAGUGGAAAGCUCAUCAAGUGACGGUAACUACCCAGAAAGGGACGGCUAACUACGUGCCAGCAGCCGCGGUAAUACGUAGGUCCCGAGCGUUGUCCGGAUUUAUUGGGCGUAAAGCGAGCGCAGGUGGUUUAUUAAGUCUGGUGUAAAAGGCAGUGGCUCAACCAUUGUAUGCAUUGGAAACUGGUAGACUUGAGUGCAGGAGAGGAGAGUGGAAUUCCAUGUGUAGCGGUGAAAUGCGUAGAUAUAUGGAGGAACACCGGUGGCGAAAGCGGCUCUCUGGCCUGUAACUGACACUGAGGCUCGAAAGCGUGGGGAGCAAACAGGAUUAGAUACCCUGGUAGUCCACGCCGUAAACGAUGAGUGCUAGAUGUAGGGAGCUAUAAGUUCUCUGUAUCGCAGCUAACGCAAUAAGCACUCCGCCUGGGGGAGUACGACCGCAAGGUUGAAAC